CCCUCUAGUUCUAUUUUCUGACUCUUUUCAUCUUAAUUUUAGCUUCUAGUCUAAAUUUUAAUUUUAGUUUUUCUUAUCGAUGUGCUACUUUGAUCUUGUGCUACUUUGAUUUUAUGUAGGCUAAGGAUUCUCACAUAGUUUCUUAUGGACCUUACUACAUCAAAUUUGGUAUUAGACUAAGGACUUUCCUUCUUAUCAGUUUAGGAUUUGUAAUUAUUUUCACAAGAACAAAAUUUUUUUUUCAACUCAGACUCCAAAUCUAAUUCCAUC
This 270-nucleotide long non-coding RNA is filed under the name Elaeis guineensis (African oil palm). Its description in RNAcentral is "long non-coding RNA (EGUI_LNC031055)". Lineage: Eukaryota; Viridiplantae; Streptophyta; Magnoliopsida; Arecales; Arecaceae. The record is from RNAcentral.